This 455-nucleotide ribosomal RNA is filed under the name Pseudomonas sp. NSi13. RNAcentral describes it as "bacterial SSU rRNA". It matches the Rfam family "Bacterial small subunit ribosomal RNA", at positions 298 to 745 of the family's 1533-position model. Lineage: Bacteria; Pseudomonadati; Pseudomonadota; Gammaproteobacteria; Pseudomonadales; Pseudomonadaceae. The record is from RNAcentral.
GGAUGAUCAGUCACACCGGAACUGAGUCACGGUCCAGACUCCUACGGGAGGCAGCAGUGGGGAAUAUUGGACAAUGGGCGAAAGCCUGAUCCAGCCAUGCCGCGUGUGUGAAGAAGGUCUUCGGAUUGUAAAGCACUUUAAGUUGGGAGGAAGGGCAGUUACCUAAUACGUAAUUGUUUUGACGUUACCGACAGAAUAAGCACCGGCUAACUCUGUGCCAGCAGCCGCGGUAAUACAGAGGGUGCAAGCGUUAAUCGGAAUUACUGGGCGUAAAGCGCGCGUAGGUGGUUCGUUAAGUUGGAUGUGAAAUCCCCGGGCUCAACCUGGGAACUGCAUUCAAAACUGUCGAGCUAGAGUAUGGUAGAGGGUGGUGGAAUUUCCUGUGUAGCGGUGAAAUGCGUAGAUAUAGGAAGGAACACCUGUGGCGAAGGCGACCACCUGGACUGAUACUGACA